GCAACCCCUAUUUUUAGUUGCCAACGGGUCAUGCCGGGAACUCUAAAGAGACUGCCGGUGAUAAACCGGAGGAAGGUGGGGAUGACGUCAAGUCCUCAUGGCCUUUAUACUCAGGGCUACACACGUGCUACAAUGGCCGGUACAAAGAGUCGCAGGACCGCGAGGUGGAGCUAAUCUCAUAAAACCGGUCUCAGUUCGGAUUGGAGUCUGCAACUCGACUCCAUGAAGUUGGAAUCGCUAGUAAUCGUAGAUCAGCAUGUUACGGUGAAUACGUUCCCGGGCCUUGUACACACCGCCCGUCACACCAUGAAAGCCGAUUGUACUAGAAGUCAUGAUGCCAACCUUCGGGAGGCUAAUGCCUAAAGUAAGCUUGGUGAUCGGGGUGAAGUCGUAACAAGGUAACCA
This 405-nucleotide ribosomal RNA is filed under the name uncultured bacterium. RNAcentral describes it as "bacterial SSU rRNA". It matches the Rfam family "Bacterial small subunit ribosomal RNA", at positions 1098 to 1502 of the family's 1533-position model. The record is from RNAcentral.